Molecule: long non-coding RNA, 318 nt
Filed under: Salmo salar (Atlantic salmon)
Lineage: Eukaryota; Metazoa; Chordata; Actinopteri; Salmoniformes; Salmonidae
Description: lncRNA (ENSSSAG00000094889.1)
Source: RNAcentral
UGGGUAAGGGUGGUAGGCAUGUGGGUAAGGGUGGUAGGCAUGUGGGUAAGGGUGGUAGGCAUGUGGGUAAGGGUGGUAGGCAUGUGGGUAAGGGUGGUAGGCAUGUGGGUAAAGGUGGUAGGUAUGUGGGUAAGGGUGGUAAGCGUGUGGGUAAGGGUGGUACGGAUGGUUACAGGUGUUGUUAUUCAUUACGUACGUUAGUGGAUAACUUCAGCUGGUCUGUCUGCCUGUAGCGUGCAGAGGGAGGCACAGUGUGCUCGUCGGUGUGUGUGUAGGCCGGGUUAGUGAUGGAAACCAGGCUGGUGAGGCGUGGGUGGU